GACGAACGCUGGCGGCGUGCUUAACACAUGCAAGUCGAACGGGCCUGUCUUCUUUUUUGGGGGGUGGGUUGAGUGGCGAACGGGUGAGUAACACGUGAGUAACCUGCCCUUCGGUCCUGGAUAACUGCUUGAAAGGGCGGCUAAUACGGGGUGGUCCGGUUGGUCCGCAUGGGCUGGACGGGAUAGAGUCACUGUUUUUGGUGUUUCGGCGGGGGAUGGGGUCGCGGCCUAUCAGCUUGGUGGCGGGGUGAUGGCAUACCAAGGCGGGGACGGGGAGCCGGGCUGGGGGUGUGGGAGGCCAGAAUGGGACUGCGGUACGGCCCAGAAUGCUGCGGAAGAGAGCGGUAGGGUGUAUUGCGCGAUGGGCGGUAGCCUGAUGCAGCGACGUCGCGUGAGGGAUGGAGGCCUUCGGGUUGUGAACCUCUGUUUCAGGUGGUGAAGGCCCUGUCCGUGUGGUGGGGUUGACGGUAGCCGGGGAUGAAGCGCCGGCUAACUACGUG
RNAcentral lists this ribosomal RNA (500 nucleotides) under uncultured bacterium. Its description in RNAcentral is "partial 16S ribosomal RNA". It matches the Rfam family "Bacterial small subunit ribosomal RNA", at positions 28 to 507 of the family's 1533-position model. The record is from RNAcentral.